CCUACGGGAGGCAGCAGUGAGGAAUAUUGGUCAAUGGGCGCAAGCCUGAACCAGCCAUGCCGCGUGCAGGAUGACGGUCCUAUGGAUUGUAAACUGCUUUUGUACAGGAAGAAACACUCCCUCGUGAGGGAGCUUGACGGUACUGUAAGAAUAAGGAUCGGCUAACUCCGUGCCAGCAGCCGCGGUAAUACGGAGGAUCCAAGCGUUAUCCGGAAUCAUUGGGUUUAAAGGGUCCGUAGGCGGUUUUAUAAGUCAGUGGUGAAAUCUGGUCGCUCAACGAUCAAACGGCCAUUGAUACUGUAGAACUUGAAUUACUUGGAAGUAACUAGAAUAUGUAGUGUAGCGGUGAAAUGCUUAGAGAUUACAUGGAAUACCAAUUGCGAAGGCAGGUUACUACAAGUGGAUUGACGCUGAUGGACGAAAGCGUGGGGAGCGAACAGGAUUAGAUACCCGUGUAGUC
RNAcentral lists this ribosomal RNA (460 nucleotides) under uncultured Flavobacterium sp. Its description in RNAcentral is "bacterial SSU rRNA". It matches the Rfam family "Bacterial small subunit ribosomal RNA", at positions 338 to 795 of the family's 1533-position model. The record is from RNAcentral. Lineage: Bacteria; Pseudomonadati; Bacteroidota; Flavobacteriia; Flavobacteriales; Flavobacteriaceae.